CUCUUUAGUCCAGUCAGUGUGUUGUUUGGCAAAUUGUAACCUCUUCAGCACAUGUGGUUUUUCCAACAAUGUUACUUUGCAGGGGCUUCUUGCCCAUGGCGUCUUCUAACUGUCACAGCACUUACAGG
Long non-coding RNA from Thalassophryne amazonica, 128 nucleotides. RefSeq lists it as uncharacterized. Lineage: Eukaryota; Metazoa; Chordata; Actinopteri; Batrachoidiformes; Batrachoididae. The transcript is spliced from 3 exons. The record is from RefSeq and is a predicted model, not a curated record.